Notechis scutatus (mainland tiger snake) is the source of this 376-nucleotide non-coding RNA. Lineage: Eukaryota; Metazoa; Chordata; Lepidosauria; Squamata; Elapidae. The record is from RefSeq and is a predicted model, not a curated record.
AUUUAAGCAGAAGGAGUUUUUCGGGUCUCGGAUUCAGUUAAUCUUCCGAUUGACUUGCAGUAGACGACAAAGACAUCAAGAUGACAAGCGCAACAUACUCCUUCCAUUAUGAACAGAUCUGGGAAGAGUCUAAAAAUCAUUCUAAGGAUUGGAGCCAGAGAAUCAGAAUGAGGAUAGCAGAUGAGACGCAAAAAUAUGUAUUUCACAAAGAGAGACAAGAGUUCGAAGAGUUGGGUGAGAAGGAUGUGUCUGAACUUGACUUCUUUCCAGGUGAACUGGAAAUGGAGGAAACUGUACUGGAUGCCGCUGACCAGGAAACGGUGAUGUGUGAAGACAACAGCAAAAAAGAUUCCUGUUCCAAUGCUAUUGUCAAGAA